This 366-nucleotide unclassified non-coding RNA is filed under the name Hevea brasiliensis (rubber tree). Lineage: Eukaryota; Viridiplantae; Streptophyta; Magnoliopsida; Malpighiales; Euphorbiaceae. The record is from RNAcentral.
AAAAAUAAGAGGAGAAAGCUUGAGACUACUAAAUGAAGAAACUGCAACACCAUAUGGCAGCAAUACGAAAAAGAAAACUGCACAUGCCUACCUCAACUAACUUAAAAAGGUCAAUAUCUGUUACAGGCGAAUGCACUGCUUAUGCCCUCAAUCCAAAGCAAUUAUAAGAUACCCACUGGCAAAUUUUUCUCCAGACUCCCUUUCUAGAUUUGCACUCUCUCAGUCCAGCCAAUGUUGUAUCUUCUGUGUUCUCCUCUAUCCAAACUUGUUCCCAAAAUUAUCCCAAGAUUAGACUUGUUUUCCUGGUGUACAAAAAUAUAAAUCAUAUCCAUCUUUUAGUAGUUACUAGGCCAGUUGAUCUGUUGA